UACGUAGGAUCCAAGCGUUGUCCGGAUUUACUGGGUGUAAAGGGUGCGCAGGCGGACUUAUAAGUCAGGGGCGAAAUCUCGCUGCUCAACAGCGAAACUGCCUUUGAUACUGUAGGUCUUGAAUUAGGGAGAGAUUCGUGGAAUUCCGAGUGUAGCAGUGAAAUGUGUAGAUAUUCGGAAGAACACCAGAGGCGAAGGCAGCGAAUUGGCCCUAUAUUGACGCUCAGGCACGAAAGCAUGGGGAUCAAACAGG
RNAcentral lists this ribosomal RNA (253 nucleotides) under uncultured bacterium. RNAcentral describes it as "partial 16S ribosomal RNA". It matches the Rfam family "Bacterial small subunit ribosomal RNA", at positions 524 to 776 of the family's 1533-position model. The record is from RNAcentral.